GCGCCGAUAGUCUAGCCUGGUAGGACAUCAAAAUAUGUGCAAGCCUUCCAAGUUAGGAGAUAGCUGAAUACCUGGGUUCAAAUCCCAGUCGGCGCA
Molecule: transfer RNA, 96 nt
Filed under: Candidatus Aenigmatarchaeota archaeon
Lineage: Archaea; Nanobdellati; Candidatus Aenigmatarchaeota
Description: tRNA-OTHER
Rfam family: tRNA
About the family: Transfer RNA (tRNA) molecules are approximately 80 nucleotides in length. Their secondary structure includes four short double-helical elements and three loops (D, anti-codon, and T loops).
Source: RNAcentral